CAGCAGCCGCGGUAAUACGUAGGGUGCGAGCGUUGUCCGGAAUUAUUGGGCGUAAAGAGCUUGUAGGCGGUUUGUCGCGUCUGCUGUGAAAUCCCAGGGCUUAACCCUGGGCUUGCAGUGGGUACGGGCAGACUAGAGUGUGGUAGGGGAGACUGGAAUUCCUGGUGUAGCGGUGAAAUGCGCAGAUAUCAGGAGGAACACCGAUGGCGAAGGCAGGUCUCUGGGCCACUACUGACGCUGAGAAGCGAAAGCAUGGGGAGCGAACAGGAUUAGAUACCCUGGUAGUCCAUGCCGUAAACGU
This 301-nucleotide ribosomal RNA is filed under the name uncultured Nostocoides sp. RNAcentral describes it as "bacterial SSU rRNA". It matches the Rfam family "Bacterial small subunit ribosomal RNA", at positions 509 to 809 of the family's 1533-position model. Lineage: Bacteria; Bacillati; Actinomycetota; Actinomycetes; Micrococcales; Intrasporangiaceae. The record is from RNAcentral.